Oryzias latipes (Japanese medaka) is the source of this 474-nucleotide non-coding RNA. The record is from RefSeq and is a predicted model, not a curated record. NCBI's taxonomy places the organism in Eukaryota, Metazoa, Chordata, Actinopteri, Beloniformes, Adrianichthyidae.
CUACUUCAAUGGCGAUAAUGCAGUUAUUUGAUUAUAUUUCUUGUCAUGACCUGUCAGCUACUCCCUCCUCCCCCCUCCUUCCUGUGUUUGACGCGACCAGCUGGAUCCACUUACCUCAUCUACACCUGCCUUCAUAACUCCUCCAGGAUCAUCAGCCGGUGCCAGUUUGUUGUUCCUCCUAUGGACGUAAACCUUCUGGAUCCUCACCUGGUCGCAGUCCUCCAACGCUGCAGUCACGCCGCAUCAAGAAACCUCCAGCCAGCCGUCUCUCCUCGCCUUGGUUCAAGCUUCGCCUACGCCGUCUCUAGUAGCCUCCAGCCAGCCGCCUAGCCUCGUCUUGGUUCAAGCCUCGCCCCCGCCGCUGUUCCCCCUCAAGGAGAUCCCAGUUCAAGGUUCCUCCAGCCAGGCCACGCUCUCUCUUCCUGGAAGGAAGUCCUGUCAAGUUCUGGUUCUGAUUAAACCACUGAAAUCUUA